GUGGUGUAGGGGUUAACAUGCCUGCCUGUCACGCAGGAGRUCGCGGGUUCRARUCCCGUCCAGA
RNAcentral lists this transfer RNA (64 nucleotides) under Enterococcus faecalis. RNAcentral describes it as "tRNA-Asp". Lineage: Bacteria; Bacillati; Bacillota; Bacilli; Lactobacillales; Enterococcaceae. The record is from RNAcentral.